This 355-nucleotide ribosomal RNA is filed under the name uncultured Desulfovibrio sp. RNAcentral describes it as "bacterial SSU rRNA". It matches the Rfam family "Bacterial small subunit ribosomal RNA", at positions 1025 to 1382 of the family's 1533-position model. Lineage: Bacteria; Pseudomonadati; Thermodesulfobacteriota; Desulfovibrionia; Desulfovibrionales; Desulfovibrionaceae. The record is from RNAcentral.
AAUUCCGAGACAGGUGCUGCAUGGCUGUCGUCAGCUCGUGCCGUGAGGUGUUGGGUUAAGUCCCGCAACGAGCGCAACCCUAUUGCCAGUUGCUACCAGGUAAUGCUGGGCACUCUGGUGAGACUGCCCCGGUUAACGGGAGGAAGGUGGGGACGACGUCAAGUCAUCAUGGCCCUUACGCCUAGGGCUACACACGUACUACAAUGGCGCAUACAAAGGGCAGCGAUACCGCGAGGUGGAGCCAAUCCCAAAAAGUGCGUCCCAGUCCGGAUGCAGUCUGCAACUCGACUGCAUGAAGUUGGAAUCGCUAGUAAUUCGAGAUCAGCAUGCUCGGGUGAAUGCGUUCCCGGGCCUU